AGCGAACGUUAGCGGCGGGCCUAACACAUGCAAGUCGAACGCGAAAGGUCUUCGGACUGAGUAGAGUGGCGCACGGGUGAGUAACACGUAGGUAAUCUACCCUUUGGCGGGGGAUAACGUUCCGAAAGGAGCGCUAAUACCGCAUAAGACCACGGAGUCUCCGGACGCUGUGGGAAAAGGUGGCCUCUUCUUGAAAGCUACCACCGAAGGAUGAGCCUGCGUCCCAUCAGCUAGUUGGUAAGGUAAUGGCUUACCAAGGCGAAGACGGGUAGCUGGUUUGAGAGAAUGAUCAGCCACACUGGCACUGGAACACGGGCCAGACUCCUACGGGAGGCAGCAGUGAGGAAUAUUGGGCAAUGGGCGAAAGCCUGACCCAGCCACGCCGCGUGGGGGAUGAAGGUUUUCGGAUUGUAAACCCCUUUCAUGAGGAAAGAUAAAGUGGGUAACCACUUAGACGGUACCUCUUUAGCAAGCACCGGCUAACUCUGUGCCAGCAGCCGCGGUAAAGUCUAGC
Molecule: ribosomal RNA, 514 nt
Filed under: uncultured bacterium
Lineage: Bacteria
Description: bacterial SSU rRNA
Rfam family: Bacterial small subunit ribosomal RNA
Source: RNAcentral